AAGUCGUAACAAGGUUUCCGUAGGUGAACCUGCGGAAGGAUCAUUAACCUUUCAAAUCAGGGUGCGGCGCGGCCCCCGAGGAGCGGAAACAAUCCUUGGGAGGUAUGCGGGGGCUUCGAGCCCCCCAUUUACGCAAGCACGACUGCCAUCCUUACUUUACGAGCACCUUCUGUUCUCCCUCGGCGGGGCAACCUGCCGUUGGAACCGAAUAAACUCUUUUUGCAUCUAGCAUUACCUGUUCCGAAACAAACAAUCGUUACAACUUUCAACAAUGGAUCUCUUGGCUCUG
Molecule: unclassified non-coding RNA, 289 nt
Filed under: Pseudopithomyces sp.
Lineage: Eukaryota; Fungi; Ascomycota; Dothideomycetes; Pleosporales; Didymosphaeriaceae
Description: partial internal transcribed spacer region
Rfam family: Eukaryotic small subunit ribosomal RNA (bases 1-46)
Source: RNAcentral